CUGACAUUGGGAGGAGGCAGCUAGUUUCUCGCAGUGAGGGCAGUACGAGCUAGUUGCAAGCCUUAGGCAGGCCACAAGGUGAAUGUCUGCCAUUGUGGAUCUGUACUUUGACUUGAUGAUUUUCAUGUGAGAGAAAGCAGUCUCACACAAAUAAGUUGAUCCAAAAAGUGCAGUCACGUUCAAGGCACAUCUUCUGAGGUUGGGAUAUUUUUGUUCCAGUAGCAGGUUCCAGAACUCUCAUUUCUCGUCAGAUGUUGCCCUGGAUUUGAUCUCAAUGUCAUUUGGAGUGUGAGAAUCUCACGAUCAACAGCAGAGCUAUCCACUUCAAAUAGUGCUGCUUCUUUGGAAGCCAUGUAAUCCACAUCGAUGCCCUCCCCAAACGGAAAACACAGCUGGCAACAGGCUCAAUGGAUGCAAAGUAAGUAAAAUGCUUCUCAAAUUCUGACAAGAUGCUCUGAACUUGCUCCCCAUAACGUGCACUGUCAAGCUGUGCAGAAUCUUUGCCAUGACACUGGAG
This 517-nucleotide long non-coding RNA is filed under the name Pelobates cultripes (western spadefoot toad). The record is from RNAcentral. Lineage: Eukaryota; Metazoa; Chordata; Amphibia; Anura; Pelobatidae.